RNAcentral lists this long non-coding RNA (773 nucleotides) under Anas platyrhynchos platyrhynchos (common mallard). RNAcentral's name for it is "lncRNA (ENSAPLG00000020950.1)". The record is from RNAcentral. Lineage: Eukaryota; Metazoa; Chordata; Aves; Anseriformes; Anatidae.
AUGCUUCCAGUGCCAAGGAGGGGGAAAUUGUGCUGCUUCAAUGUAUCCUCGAUGAGCAGUUUCCUCCUACACGAGUUGUCUUCUGCAAGAAUGGGCUGGAGGAGUUCAGCCUGAAAGCCCAGCAGGGCAGGCUCAUCUACGCUCUGGUCCUGAACAUCAACUCCAGAAGUGCUGGGACGUACACGUGUGGGUACCAGCAGAGGAACAAGAAAAACUAUGUGAGGAACUCUGCUCUCAGUGCUCCCCAGACCUUGUCUGUGGCAGGUGCUGGUGAGACCACCACUGACAUCCACAGCUCCAAUGCUCCACAUGCCCGGAUCCCACACACCCUCCCCACAGGCACGGUGCUGGCAGUGGCGGCCGUCAGCCUCGUCCUCUUGUCUGCAGUCAGCUGGUUUGCCAUCAGGAAAGGUGAGGGAGAGGGGGAAGAAGGAGGGAAGGCUGAGGCUGUGGGGAUCCUGCUGCGGGACUGGUGCGCUAGGAAAGGCGGUGGGGGGAAACCUGGGUGUGUGCGGCUGGGCCAGACGGUGCCUGGGGGUGAUGGCUGUGGGCAGCUCAGCUGGGGAGGCUCCCGAGGGAGCUGGGGAGCUUCAGCCUUCAUCCCCCAGCCCCGAGAUGGGAGCCAGGGCUGGGCAGCACCUUGGCCUGUGCACCUCAGCCCCUGUUCUUCUUGCAGGUGCCUGCAGAGGGAGAUGCCCAAGGUGAGCACCAUGGGAUGGUGGCUGUGGGGUAUGGGGGAGGUAGUUGGGGGCAUAUUGAGGUCAUGGGGUGCU